RNAcentral lists this long non-coding RNA (240 nucleotides) under Mytilus galloprovincialis (Mediterranean mussel). The record is from RNAcentral. Lineage: Eukaryota; Metazoa; Mollusca; Bivalvia; Mytilida; Mytilidae.
GUUAAUUUUCGUAUAUAAUAGAAAACAUUGUUAUCAUUUUGGAGAGUGAAAUAUGUCUGCAUUAGGAACAUCUCUUAUGUGUCCGCAUUAGGAACCUCUCUAGCAAGUUAAGCGUACAAAAGAUAGACAGUUCAGAAAUUAUAUCCCUGGUGGUUGAUCCAUAAAUCCCGUCAGUCAGAUUCAAACCUGCCAUUCAUAAUCUAUCUCAUGUAUAUAUCUGUCUCGAAUGCUCACGUUUCU